AAUUAAACUUUGAUGGAGAGAGUAGAUAUAAAAAAUUUUUUACAGGGAAUAAAAGUUAUAGACUGAGAGCUUUUUAAAAAUAAUUAUAUUGAAGUUCACUCCGGAGUUCUAGCUGUGAAAUAAUAGUAGCAGUUAGCGGAAAUAUCCGAUAUUAAAACAAGAGAACUAGCACUAGUGUUAGUUAAAUUGGGUGGUAACACGACAACUUCGUCCCUUUA
Molecule: non-coding RNA, 218 nt
Filed under: Clostridium grantii
Lineage: Bacteria; Bacillati; Bacillota; Clostridia; Eubacteriales; Clostridiaceae
Description: T-box sequence
Rfam family: T-box leader
About the family: Uncharged tRNA acts as the effector for transcription antitermination of genes in the T-box leader family. T-boxes are found upstream of many aminoacyl-tRNA synthetase genes and some amino acid biosynthetic genes usually in Gram-positive bacteria.
Source: RNAcentral